GGACAAUGGGCGAAAGCCUGAUCCAGCCAUGCCGCGUGAGUGAUGAAGGCCCUAGGGUUGUAAAGCUCUUUUGUGCGGGAAGAUAAUGACGGUACCGCAAGAAUAAGCCCCGGCUAACUUCGUGCCAGCAGCCGCGGUAAUACGAAGGGGGCUAGCGUUGCUCGGAAUCACUGGGCGUAAAGGGUGCGUAGGCGGGUUUCCAAGUCAGAGGUGAAAGCCUGGAGCUCAACUCCAGAACUGCCUUUGAUACUGGAAGUCUUGACUUCGGGAGAGGUGAGUGGAACUGCGAGUGUAGAGGUGAAAUUCGUAGAUAUUCGCAAGAACACCAGUGGCGAAGGCGGCUCACUGGCCCGAUACUGACGCUGAGGCACGAAAGCGUGGGGAGCAAACA
RNAcentral lists this ribosomal RNA (391 nucleotides) under uncultured bacterium. RNAcentral's name for it is "bacterial SSU rRNA". It matches the Rfam family "Bacterial small subunit ribosomal RNA", at positions 366 to 774 of the family's 1533-position model. The record is from RNAcentral.